RNAcentral lists this ribosomal RNA (602 nucleotides) under uncultured fungus. RNAcentral's name for it is "eukaryotic LSU rRNA". It matches the Rfam family "Eukaryotic large subunit ribosomal RNA", at positions 23 to 641 of the family's 3401-position model. Lineage: Eukaryota; Fungi. The record is from RNAcentral.
ACCCGCUGAACUUAAGCAUAUCAAUAAGCGGAGGAAAAGAAACCAACAGGGAUUGCCCUAGUAACGGCGAGUGAAGCGGCAACAGCUCAAAUUUGAAAUCUGGCUCUUUUAGAGUCCGAGUUGUAAUUUGCAGAGGGCGCUUUGGCUUUGGCAGCAGUCCAAGUUCCUUGGAACAGGACGUCACAGAGGGUGAGAAUCCCGUACGUGGUCGCUGGCUAUUGCCGUGUAAAGCCCCUUCGACGAGUCGAGUUGUUUGGGAAUGCAGCUCUAAAUGGGAGGUACAUUUCUUCUAAAGCUAAAUAUUGGCCAGAGACCGAUAGCGCACAAGUAGAGUGAUCGAAAGAUGAAAAGCACUUUGGAAAGAGAGUCAAACAGCACGUGAAAUUGUUGAAAGGGAAGCGCUUGCAGCCAGACUUGCUUACAGUUGCUCAUCCGGGCUUUUGCCCGGUGCACUCUUCUGUAGGCAGGCCAGCAUCAGUUUGGGCGGUAGGAUAAAGGUCUCUGUCACGUACCUCUCUCGGGGAGGCCUUAUAGGGGAGACGACAUACUACCAGCCUGGACUGAGGUCCGCGCAUCUGCUAGGAUGCUGGCGUAAUGGCUGU